Molecule: ribosomal RNA, 701 nt
Filed under: Solicoccozyma terricola
Lineage: Eukaryota; Fungi; Basidiomycota; Tremellomycetes; Filobasidiales; Piskurozymaceae
Description: eukaryotic LSU rRNA
Rfam family: Eukaryotic large subunit ribosomal RNA (bases 419-701)
Source: RNAcentral
GUAGUCUUAUUAUAAUCUAAUAAAACUUUCAACAACGGAUCUCUUGGCUCUCGCAUCGAUGAAGAACGCAGCGAAAUGCGAUAAGUAAUGUGAAUUGCAGAAUUCAGUGAAUCAUCGAAUCUUUGAACGCACCUUGCGCUCUUUGGUAUUCCGAAGAGCAUGCCUGUUUGAGUGUCAUGAAAAUAUCAACCUUGACUUGGGUUUAGUGCUCUUGUCUUGGCUUGGAUUUGGCUGUUUGCCGCUCGAAAAGAGUCGGCUCAGCUUAAAAGUAUUAGCUGGAUCUGUCUUUGAGACUUGGUUUGACUUGGCGUAAUAAGUUAUUUCGCUGAGGACAAUCUUCGGAUUGGCCGAGUUUCUGGGACGUUUGUCCGCUUUCUAAUACAAGUUCUAGCUUGCUAGACAUGACUUUUUUAUUAUCUGGCCUCAAAUCAGGUAGGACUACCCGCUGAACUUAAGCAUAUCAAUAAGCGGAGGAAAAGAAACUAACAAGGAUUCCCCUAGUAACGGCGAGUGAAGCGGGAAGAGCUCAAAUUUGAAAUCUGGUGGCCUCAGGCUAUCCGAGUUGUAAUCUAUAGAAACAUUUUCCGCGUUGGCCCAUGUACAAGUCUCUUGGAAUAGAGCGUCAUAGAGGGUGAGAAUCCCGUCCUUGACAUGGACUACCAGUGCUUUGUGAUAUGUUUUCAACGAGUCGAGUUGUUUGG